AGUGAACGCUGGCGGUAGGCCUAACACAUGCAAGUCGAACGGCAGCACAUUACGAGCUUGCUCUUCCGGGUGGCGAGUGGCGUACGGGUGAGGAAUACAUCGUAAUCUACUUUUUCGUGGGGGAUAACGUAGGGAAACUUACUCUAAUACCGCAUACGACCUACCGUUGAAAGCAGUGGAUCUUCGGACCUUGUGCGAUUGAAUGAGCCGCUGUCGGAUUAGCUAGUUGGCGGGGUAAAGGCCCACCAAGUCGACGAUCCGUAGCUGGUCUGAGAGGAUGGUCGGCGACACUGGAACUGAGACACGGUCAAGGCGCCUGCGAGAGGCAGCAGUGGGGAAUGUUAGACAAAAGGCGCAAGCAUGAUCCAGCCAGACCGCGUGGGUGAAGAAGGCCUUGGGGUUGUAAAGACCUUUUGUUGGGAAAGAAAAGCAGUAGGUUAAUACCAAGCUGGACUGACGGUACCAAAAGAAUAAGCACCGGCUAACUACGUG
Molecule: ribosomal RNA, 492 nt
Filed under: uncultured bacterium
Lineage: Bacteria
Description: partial 16S ribosomal RNA
Rfam family: Bacterial small subunit ribosomal RNA
Source: RNAcentral